GGAGCUGUGGCAGGCUCCUUCCUCUCAGCACUGGGCCCCCCCCAGGCCAGACAGGGAGCAGGGCCAGCUGCUGAAGGCCCACCGGAGGCUCUGCCCCUGCCGCGGGCGUGGCAGGAGGGGCCAGGAGCCGCGGUCUCUGCUGGAGAAGAGGCCAUCUGUGGCCUCUGCCUGCCUUGACCUCUGGGCCGCCCGUCUGGUCUCCAGGGAGCACAAGGUGCCACCUGGUGGCGGUUUGGGGGCAUUGCA
RNAcentral lists this long non-coding RNA (246 nucleotides) under Ictidomys tridecemlineatus (thirteen-lined ground squirrel). RNAcentral's name for it is "lncRNA (ENSSTOG00000034655.1)". Lineage: Eukaryota; Metazoa; Chordata; Mammalia; Rodentia; Sciuridae. The record is from RNAcentral.